RNAcentral lists this ribosomal RNA (458 nucleotides) under Carcharhinus perezii (Caribbean reef shark). Its description in RNAcentral is "partial 12S ribosomal RNA". It matches the Rfam family "Bacterial small subunit ribosomal RNA", at positions 878 to 1533 of the family's 1533-position model. Lineage: Eukaryota; Metazoa; Chordata; Chondrichthyes; Carcharhiniformes; Carcharhinidae. The record is from RNAcentral.
UACUACAAGCGCUAGCUUAAAACCCAAAGGACUUGGCGGUAUCCCACACCCACCUAGAGGAGCCUGUUCUAUAACCGAUAAUCCCCGUUCAACCUCACCACUUCUUGCCAUUACCGUCUAUAUACCGCCGUCGUCAGCCCACCCUGUGAAGGAUUAAAAGUAAGCAAAAAGAAUAAAACUCCAAAACGUCAGGUCGAGGUGUAGCAAAUGAAGUGGGAAGAAAUGGGCUACAUUUUUUCCCAAAAACAUACGAAUGGUAAACUGAAAACACACCUAAAGGUGGAUUUAGCAGUAAGAGAAGAUCAGAAUACUUCUCUGAAAUCGGCUCUGGGAUAAGCACACACCGCCCGUCACUCUCCUCAAAAACAAUUCACUCCCUUCUAUAAAUCCAUUUCCCCAAUAAGAGGAGGCAAGUCGUAACAUGGUAAGUGUACUGGAAAGUGUACUUGGAAUCAAAA